Molecule: long non-coding RNA, 202 nt
Filed under: Mytilus galloprovincialis (Mediterranean mussel)
Lineage: Eukaryota; Metazoa; Mollusca; Bivalvia; Mytilida; Mytilidae
Source: RNAcentral
UUCACAAAAUCUGAACAACUAUGUAAAAAAACAAAAAUGGACCAAAAACCAACUAUAAAUUUGAAACCGUAAGACACCACAAUGUUAUAUAGACCAUAUUAUUUGUCCAAGACCAACAACUUUAAGUCCAUGACAAAUGGGAUAACACAAUUUAACUUCACAAAUAUAAUUCAAUAGUAUUAGUAAUAACUAUAUGCACAAC